Long non-coding RNA from Myodes glareolus (Bank vole), 2383 nucleotides. RefSeq lists it as uncharacterized. Lineage: Eukaryota; Metazoa; Chordata; Mammalia; Rodentia; Cricetidae. The record is from RefSeq and is a predicted model, not a curated record.
GAAAAAUGAAAGAAAGAAAAAAGAAAGGAAGAAAAGAAAAAGCAAAGGAAUGAAAAUUCAUCUUAGAGGCGUAAUUUUGACAGUGUUUGUAAAUUUCUUUGAAGUUUUAUUUAUUUGGUUUAGAUUUUGGGGUGAGCUUAGUAAUUAUUUUAACUGUAGUCAACUCACAUAACCAUUGUAGCACCACCUGACUGAGAUUAACGUUCUCUGGGGUUUUAUUUGUUUUUGUGGUUUGGAUCUAUGAUUUGGGGAAAGAAGAGUUGCUGGCUCAUUUCGGCUGACUUGUAACCUUCCUGUCUUCGACUCCCGAACGCCGAAUUGCAGGUUCUCAGUGUCUGAGACAGUGAAUCAUGCGUGCACCACUGACAUUCAGCUGAGCAGAGCUGACCUGAGCGGUCUACUGGAAUUGUCUCUGGUGAAACAGCUGUGGUGAAAAUGAAACUAAUUAAACUGAAACAAAAUUUCCCCAGAUCUUCCAAGCCCCUGGUCAGUAAACUGAUUUGAGAGAAUCGUUCUGCAUGUUUUAAAUUCUGUGUAUGGAAUAGUAUGCUGUGUUCACUGGGUUAUCCUACAAUUCUUUAAUCCUUAUUUUUAGGUUUUUCCUUUCCUUAUUUCCAGGGUGUUAUGUAGCCCAGGCUGGUUUCUCAUGCAGUUUAAUCUUCCUGCCUCUAACUCUGAAAACUAGGAUUAUGGGUGUGCUCCACCACACCAAGUUUAUGCCGUGUUGUGACACCUCCAGGGCUUUGUGUAUACGCCAGGCAAGCACUCUACCAAUUAACUGAGCUCCACCCCUAGUGUCUAUAUCCAUUAUUGACAAGUCUGAUGACUCAGUCCCCAUCCAAAGUCCCUGUCUCGCAUCUCCUCCUGGCAGCCUUUCCAAGGUGGGCCUGGCACACUUUCGGUGCUGAGUGAGGCCUCUCUGAAUGAAGUCUCUUGUUCUUCGCACACUUCUUAGCCAAGUGUACCUGUUUCGUAAUUCCUGGUUACGCCAAAUAAAGAAAAGCUCCUCAAACCUAACCUAGACUGUGAAGUCUCUAGCAUGUUUGCUGUAAAACAGCCUUCCCCGUGCACGCACUGUUACAGCAGGUCCCCCCGGGCUCCAGUACCUGCAGGCAUGCUCUCUAGUCUGAUAGGGAUGGAUUUCAGAAUAUUGUCAAGGUUAGAAGAGAUUGUAAGACAGAUGAACUCAACAAGGAGGUGAGUUUUGAGACGAGAGUGGAGAGAGGGGCUUCAUUCUUGUUUUCUAGGGUUUAAGAGCCGUGACUAUCACCAUCCUUGUGUAAGCCUCCAUUCCCAGCAGGUCACUCCUCGGUUUAGCAAUGUGGAGAUUCUGCGCUAUGUGGGAUAGAUAAAACUUAGACGUCACACAGCGGGGUGUGGUUGUGCAAGUCUGAAUUCCAGCCCGCCGGUAGUUGAGGCAGGAGGACCGAGAGUCUGAGGUUAGCCUAAGACUACACAGAGGGAAGAUCUAAGGAAAUUUAAGGGGGGCAGUCAGAUGGCUGAGCGGCUAGAGAUGCUUGUCAGCAAGCCUGGAGACCCGAGUCAGAGCCCUGGGAUCUACAGUGUGAAGUGGGUGCUGUAAACUGUCCUCUGUCCUUCGUGAGCACACGCUGGGACACUGGAACACUGUUCCGAUAAACAUGUGAAACACAAACAGACAUGAUAAAUCCUACAGAUCGGACUGCUUGGACCCAUUCAUAGAAUUUCAGCUGUUGUUUUUACUCCCCACCGCUGAAAUUCUUUGUGUGUGUGUGUGUGUGUGUGUGUGUGUAUAACCUAUAUGUUUGUCAUAUAUGUGAAUGAGUCUAAGUACCUGUGUGUUCUUGCAGAGGCCAGAGGAGGUAUUAGGAACCCCCAUCUAUCAUGUCUGUCCUGUUCUUCUGAGGUGGAGUCCCUCACUGAAUGUGGAGCUUUCUUCUUUUAGCUAAGCCGGCAGCCAGCGAGUCCUCAUGAUCUUGUCUCCACUGUUCUCAACGCGAAGGUUGCAGGCAUGAGGGGGGUGAUAGUCAGCUUUCGUGUUGACUCUGGGAUCCAAACUUCGGUCUUCACAUGUGGGCAGCAAGCAUUAUUAACUACUGAGGCGUCUCUCCAUCCUCUGAAUAAUUUUUAAAUAUUUUAUUUUUUAUUUUGUGUGUGUGUGUGUGUGUGUGUGUGUACCAGAUGUAUGCAGGUGCCUGUGGGGGCCAGAAGAGGAUGAUGAAUCCCCUGAAGAUGGAGUUAUAAGCCAUUGUGAGCGACCGCUGUGGAUGCUGGGAAUUCAGAUGUACUCCUCUGGAAGAGCAUCAGGCGGUCUAACACUGAGUAAUCGGUCCAGUUCCUCACCCCCAGCAGAUGUUCCAGAUUCUCAGGAACAACUGAAAUAAAAUAUUCUCUUUUGUUUCCA